UGGGGAAUAUUGGACAAUGGGCGCAAGCCUGAUCCAGCAAUGCCGCGUGUGUGAAGAAGGCCUUCGGGUUGUAAAGCACUUUUAUCAGGAGCGAAACGCUGUCGGCUAAUACCCGGCGGAACUGACGGUACCUGAGGAAUAAGCACCGGCUAACUUCGUGCCAGCAGCCGCGGUAAUGCGAAGGGUGCAAGCGUUAAUCGGAAUUACUGGGCGUAAAGCGUGCGUAGGCGGUUUCUUAAGUCUGCUGUGAAAUCCCCGGGCUCAACCUGGGAAUGGCAGUGGAUACUGGGAGGCUAGAGUGUGUCAGAGGGUGGUGGAAUUCCCGGUGUAGCGGUGAAAUGCGUAGAGAUCGGGAGGAACAUCAGUGGCGAAGGCGGCCACCUGGGACAACACUGACGCUGAGGCACGAAAGCGUGGGGNGCAAACAGGAUUAGAUACCCUGGUAGUCCACGCCCUAAACGAUGCGAACUGGAUGUUGGUCUCAACUCGGAGAUCAGUGUCGAAGCUAACGCGUUAAGUUCGCCGCCUGGGGAGUACGGUCGCAAGACUGAAACUUAAAGGAAUUGACGGGGUCAUAGCUGUUUCCUG
Molecule: ribosomal RNA, 588 nt
Filed under: uncultured bacterium
Lineage: Bacteria
Description: partial 16S ribosomal RNA
Rfam family: Bacterial small subunit ribosomal RNA
Source: RNAcentral